Karstenula rhodostoma CBS 690.94 is the source of this 115-nucleotide non-coding RNA. Lineage: Eukaryota; Fungi; Ascomycota; Dothideomycetes; Pleosporales; Didymosphaeriaceae. The record is from the annotation of a GenBank genome assembly.
GGACGAGUAGCUCAGUGGUAGAGCGCCCAGCCACAAGGCGGUUGUAUGAUGUUGGUGCGGCGGUUGUACGAUGCUGGCGGCUGGGAGGGCACAAGUUCGACUCUUGUCUCGUUCA